CAGCUCUCCGAGUGGUGUGGAUGUUUAUUGGGCCUAAAGCAUCCGUAGCUGGCUAAGUCAGUCCCUUGUUAAAUCCACCGAAUUAAUCGUUGGAUUGCGGGGGAUACUGCUUGGCUAGGGGACGAGAGAGGCAGACGGUAUUUUCGGGGUAGGGGUGAAAUCCUAUAAUCCCGGGAAGACCACCAGUGGCGAAGGCUGUCUGCUAGAACGCGCCCGACGGUGAGGGAUGAAAGCUGGGGGAGCGAACCGGAUUAGAUACCCGAGUAGUCC
RNAcentral lists this ribosomal RNA (270 nucleotides) under uncultured archaeon. Its description in RNAcentral is "partial 16S ribosomal RNA". It matches the Rfam family "Archaeal small subunit ribosomal RNA", at positions 477 to 747 of the family's 1478-position model. The record is from RNAcentral.